GGGUAGCCUACUUCGCCUCGAUUUC
RNAcentral lists this ribosomal RNA (25 nucleotides) under Verticillium dahliae. RNAcentral describes it as "partial 28S ribosomal RNA". The record is from RNAcentral. Lineage: Eukaryota; Fungi; Ascomycota; Sordariomycetes; Glomerellales; Plectosphaerellaceae.